CCCUUAGAUGUCCUGGGCCGCACGCGCGCUACACUGAGUGUCUGAGAUACGAGUCGGCCUGGUCCGGCAAGGUCUAGGUAAUCGCUAAAAGACACAUCAUGCUUGGGAUAGAUUAUUGCAAAUAUUAAUCUUGAACGAGGAAUUCCUAGUAAGCGCAAGUCAACAGCUUGCGUUGAUUACGUCCCUGCCCUUUGUACACACCGCCCGUCGCUACUACUGAUUGGAUGUUUAAGCGAGGUUCUCGAACUGCUAGCGACUUAGCUUCGGUGAGGUCGCAGUGUGGGAAGUGAACCUAGCUUUGGUGUCUAGAGGAAGUAAAAGUCGUAACA
Molecule: ribosomal RNA, 329 nt
Filed under: uncultured eukaryote
Lineage: Eukaryota
Description: partial 18S ribosomal RNA
Rfam family: Eukaryotic small subunit ribosomal RNA
Source: RNAcentral